AGCAGUAGCCACGGUAAUACGUAGGUGGCAAGCGUUAUCCGGAAUUAUUGGGCGUAAAGCGCGCGUAGGCGGUUUUUUAAGUCUGAUGUGAAAGCCCACGGCUCAACCGUGGGGGGUCAUUGGAAACUGGAAAACUUGAGUGCAGAAGAGGAAAGUGGAAUUCCAUGUGUAGCGGUGAAAUGCGCAGAGAUAUGGAGGAACACCAGUGGCGAAGGCGACUUUCUGGUCUGUAACUGACGCUGAUGUGCGAAAGCGUGGGGAGCAAACAGGAUUAGAUACCCGUGUAGUCCCUGUCUCUUAUAC
Molecule: ribosomal RNA, 303 nt
Filed under: uncultured bacterium
Lineage: Bacteria
Description: partial 16S ribosomal RNA
Rfam family: Bacterial small subunit ribosomal RNA
Source: RNAcentral